CAAAAGGAGGCGAGGAAACGGAUGCGAAUACGGACACUUAAGGUUAAUCAGAUAUUCAUGAUGGACAUGUGAACGAGGAUCAAGUUGAAGAUCAUGGAUUGUACGGGAAAGCGGUCACGUUGUUUGUAAUCAUUUUUUAUCAUAGUUACAUUAAAUAAAUGAUGAAUGAUGUAUGUUA
Molecule: long non-coding RNA, 178 nt
Organism: Helianthus annuus (common sunflower)
Lineage: Eukaryota; Viridiplantae; Streptophyta; Magnoliopsida; Asterales; Asteraceae
Exons: 2
Source: RefSeq, a predicted model, not a curated record